RNAcentral lists this ribosomal RNA (253 nucleotides) under uncultured bacterium. Its description in RNAcentral is "partial 16S ribosomal RNA". It matches the Rfam family "Bacterial small subunit ribosomal RNA", at positions 524 to 776 of the family's 1533-position model. The record is from RNAcentral.
UACAGAGACUGCGAGCGUUACUCGGAUUCACUGGGCGUAAAGGGUGCGUAGGUGGCCAAAUGUGUCAGGUGUGAAAUCUUGGGGCUCAACCCCAAAACUGCGCCUGAAACUGUUUGGCUAGAGUUUCGGAGGGGUAAGCGGAAUUCCUGGAGUAGCAGUGAAAUGCAUAGAUAUCAGGAGGAACACCAAUGGCGAAGGCAGCUUACUGGACGAAUACUGACACUGAAGCACGAAAGCGUGGGGAGCAAAAAGG